CCUANGGGUGUCAGCAGUGAGGAAUAUUGCACAAUGGGCGAAAGCCUGAUGCAGCAACGCCGCGUGGAGGAUGACGCAUUUCGGUGUGUAAACUCCUUUUAUGAGUCAAGAAAAUGACGGUAGCUCAUGAAUAAGCACCGGCUAACUCCGUGCCAGCAGCCGCGGUAAUACGGAGGGUGCAAGCGUUACUCGGAAUCACUGGGCGUAAAGGACGCGUAGGCUGUCUAGCAAGUCAGAUGUGAAAUCCAAUGGCUCAACCAUUGAACUGCAUUUGAAACUGCUAGACUAGAGUAUGGGAGGGGGAGAUGGAAUUAGUGGUGUAGGGGUAAAAUCCGUAGAUAUCACUAGGAAUACCGAAAGCGAAGGCGAUCUCCUGGAACAUAACUGACGCUGAGGCGUGAAAGCGUGGGGAGCAAACAGGAUUAGAUACCCUGNUANUC
This 440-nucleotide ribosomal RNA is filed under the name uncultured bacterium. RNAcentral describes it as "bacterial SSU rRNA". It matches the Rfam family "Bacterial small subunit ribosomal RNA", at positions 338 to 795 of the family's 1533-position model. The record is from RNAcentral.